GACGAACGCUGGCGGCGUGCUUAACACAUGCAAGUCGAACGGAAAGGCCCUGCUUGCAGGGUACUCGAGUGGCGAACGGGUGAGUAACACGUGGGUGAUCUGCCCUUCACUUCGGGAUAAGCCUGGGAAACUGGGUCUAAUACCGGAUAGGUGCCAUUUUUAGUGUGAUGGUUGGAAAGUUUUUUCGGUGUUGGAUGAGCUCGCGGCCUAUCAGCUUGUUGGUGGGGUAAUGGCCUACCAAGGCGGCGACGGGUAGCCGGCCUGAGAGGGUGGACGGCCACAUUGGGACUGAGAGACGGCCCAGACUCCUACGGGAGGAAGAAGGGGGGAAGAGUGAACAAGGGGCGCAAGCCGGAUGCAGAGACGCCGCGGGGGGGAGGACGGCCUUAGGGUUGUAAACUCCUUUCGCUAGGGACGAAGCUUUUUGUGACGGUACCUAGAUAAGAAGCACCGGCUAACUACGUG
RNAcentral lists this ribosomal RNA (465 nucleotides) under uncultured bacterium. RNAcentral describes it as "partial 16S ribosomal RNA". It matches the Rfam family "Bacterial small subunit ribosomal RNA", at positions 28 to 507 of the family's 1533-position model. The record is from RNAcentral.